CCUACGGGGGGCUGCAGUAACGAAUCUUCCGCAAUGCCGGCAAGGGUGACGGAGCGACGCCGCGUGGAGGACGAAGUCCUUCGGGAUGUAAACUCCUGUCAGGGGAUACCGGGUCCCCAGAGGAAGGCACGGCUAACUCUGUGCCAGCAGCCGCGUUAAGACAGAGGUGCCGAGCGUUAGGCGGAAUCACUGGGCUUAAAGCGUGUGUAGGCGGGCCGGUAAGUGCCCCGUGAAAUCCCCCGGCUCAACCGGGGAACGGCGGGGCAUACUGGCGGCCUUGAGCCACUUAAGGGCAGACGGAACAAGCGGUGGAGCGGUGAAAUGCGUAGAUAUCGCUUGGAACGCCGACGGCGAAAGCAGUCUGCUGGGUGUGCUGACGCUGAGACACGAAAGCCAGGGGAGCGAACGGGAUUAGAUACCCUUGUAGUC
RNAcentral lists this ribosomal RNA (429 nucleotides) under uncultured bacterium. RNAcentral's name for it is "partial 16S ribosomal RNA". It matches the Rfam family "Bacterial small subunit ribosomal RNA", at positions 338 to 795 of the family's 1533-position model. The record is from RNAcentral.